RNAcentral lists this ribosomal RNA (444 nucleotides) under uncultured bacterium. Its description in RNAcentral is "SSU rRNA". It matches the Rfam family "Bacterial small subunit ribosomal RNA", at positions 26 to 518 of the family's 1533-position model. The record is from RNAcentral.
AGAGCGAACGCUGGCGGCAGGCCUAACACAUGCAAGUCGAGCGCUCCGCAAGGGGAGCGGCAGACGGGUGAGUAACGCGUGGGAACGUACCUUUUGGUUCGGAACAACCCAGGGAAACUUGGGCUAAUACCGGAUAAAGCCCUUACGGGGAAAGAUUUAUCGCCGAAAGAUCGGCCCGCGUCUGAUUAGCUAGUUGGUGAGGUAAUGGCUCACCAAGGCGACGAUCAGUAGCUGGUCUGAGAGGAUGAUCAGCCACAUUGGGACUGAGACACGGCCCAAACUCCUACGGGAGGCAGCAGUGGGGAAUAUUGGACAAUGGGCGCAAGCCUGAUCCAGCCAUGCCGCGUGAGUGAUGAAGGCCCUAGGGUUGUAAAGCUCUUUUGUGCGGGAAGAUAAUGACGGUACCGCAAGAAUAAGCCCGGCUAACUUCGUGCCAGCAGCCGC